This 254-nucleotide ribosomal RNA is filed under the name uncultured bacterium. RNAcentral describes it as "partial 16S ribosomal RNA". It matches the Rfam family "Bacterial small subunit ribosomal RNA", at positions 524 to 776 of the family's 1533-position model. The record is from RNAcentral.
UACGUAGGGUGCGAGCGUUGUCCGGAAUUAUUGGGCGUAAAGAGCUCGUAGGCGGUGUGUCACGUCGGCCGUGAAAACCUGGGGCUUAACUCUGGGCGUGCGGUCGAUACGGGCAUCACUAGAGUUCGGCAGGGGAGACUGGAAUUCCUGGUGUAGCGGUGAAAUGCGCAGAUAUCAGGAGGAACACCGGUGGCGAAGGCGGGUCUCUGGGCCGAUACUGACGCUGAUGCGCGAAAGCGUGGGGAGCAAACAGG